This 74-nucleotide transfer RNA is filed under the name Candidatus Zinderia insecticola CARI. RNAcentral describes it as "tRNA-Gln (TTG) (tRNA-Gln-TTG-1-1)". It matches the Rfam family "tRNA". Rfam says of the family: Transfer RNA (tRNA) molecules are approximately 80 nucleotides in length. Their secondary structure includes four short double-helical elements and three loops (D, anti-codon, and T loops). The record is from Rfam by way of RNAcentral. Lineage: Bacteria; Pseudomonadati; Pseudomonadota; Betaproteobacteria; Burkholderiales; Oxalobacteraceae.
AGGGGAAUAGCCAAGUUGGUUUAAGGCACCGGAUUUUGAUUCCGGCAUCCAGGGUUCAAAUCCUUGUUCCCCUG